UUGAGAUUAUCCCCCAGUCUCUCAGUGGUGACCACCAACCACGGCGCCAUGCAGAAAUUUAACAGGUAGACAGUGGAAUGUGUAGAAUGCACAAACUCUGCUGCUGUUUGGAGCUGGUUCAGGUUGCCCCUACACUGUCAUCCUUCUCUGCAACUGGCCAAACAGGGAAACUAUGGGAUGAUUAUUGUCUCCUCUUCGGUUCCAUUGACUUGACACCCAGUGGUCAAACACGUCCUCCAGAAACAUGAGGGCUGCGAAGGACAUGCAGAACUACAGACGAGGGUAUCCUAAUCUAACAGAUGAAUGCUCAGGAGAAAGAAUGUUUAAUUUAAAAUUCUAUCUCAAUGAAUAUCCCGCCUCCCCUGAUGGUAGGUCACUUGCUAUUUAAUCAGUUUUCAAUGGCUAUAAAAUGUGCGUAAUGAGUAAAAGCAUAUACAAUGCCUUGCAAAAGUAUUCAUACCCCUUGGAUUUUGUAAGCAUUUCACAUUUUAAGUAAGCAUUUCACUGUCAUGUCUACAUCUGUUGUAUUCAGCUCAUGGGACUAAUAACAUUUGAUUUUCUUUGGAGACGAGGGUAUAACCAGCCAUAUGGAAGCAAACUGAAACUCAUAUUAUAUAUUGAGGCCCCUUUUUCCACAAUGAAAUGUGCCGCUAUUCUGAAUUUAAUUGUGUGCCCUCAUAAUUUGCGUGGAUGAUAUUCAGAGACUCAAGUUAUAGGCUUCUGAAGGGCUGAACAUGCUGGGUUGAUGUAUGACCUUUUAGAAUGUUUUGAUAAUAUGUUUGUGCUUUUCUGUUUUUAUUUUACAAUUUGUAUCAUGUUAAAUGUUAGCCACUAUUGGGAGCCACAGUCAGUAAUACCACAUACAUUUUAUUUUUGCAUCAUUCCAUUCUGUUUACGUUUCUUUCCUCUGUCACAUCCUUGUAAAUUGUUCCUGAUGGUCACUAGCAUUAGUGGAUCAUAUUAGGCUAACAGUGUACAAUCAUUUGGGACAUGUAGCCUAUUUGAAUCAUUAUAGAACUCUUACCACACAUAGCAGGUUUAACCAGUAGCCUGGCGCACGGUUCAGGAUGCCUGGACCGUUGUCAUCCUGUUCCAUGAUUGAUCCCUAUAUUCUGAACCUGUACUCUUGAUGUAUUCCAUUGAGUCUGUUGACAAAAUUCAAAUUAAAGUUACACCAUAUUUUAAA
Molecule: non-coding RNA, 1186 nt
Organism: Oncorhynchus mykiss (rainbow trout)
Lineage: Eukaryota; Metazoa; Chordata; Actinopteri; Salmoniformes; Salmonidae
Source: RefSeq, a predicted model, not a curated record